Molecule: long non-coding RNA, 3016 nt
Organism: Papaver somniferum (opium poppy)
Lineage: Eukaryota; Viridiplantae; Streptophyta; Magnoliopsida; Ranunculales; Papaveraceae
Exons: 2
Source: RefSeq, a predicted model, not a curated record
CUUAUUAUCCGCAGCCAUCCACAAUAAUUUGCAGAGCUCCUCCAACUCGACCAAAUCUUAGCAACAAAUCAUCGUCGCCCAUCAUCAACAGAAAGCUAGAGGAGCAGUUGCAACCAUUACCGCCUUGAAUCCGGAGAAUCUACACCAAGAUCAACCCGGGUGAUCUUUCAUCGAAGACAAAUUAAGAGGGCGUCAGAUUUAAACAAAAUAAAGCAUUUAGUCUCAGUUUAGCAGAGAAGAGUCGGAACAGUGAGGAGUCGAUGCUUGCACACCAACUGUUUGUACAAAUUCCACAGAGAAGAGCAUUUAAAUGUUCAAACACCAUCUUUCUGUUCCUUCCGAUCACCUACGCCGAGUCACACUAGCAGCCGCUUCAUCCUCCUCCGAUUACAUCAAGCUACACCAACGUCGCAUGUCUCUUCAUCGCUUGCUACUGUAUGGAUAAAUCAAGGACAAAUCAGAUCCGGAUAUGAAAUCGAUUACCAGCGCUUCACUACACCAGCUCCGCUCCAUCCUUAUUCUCCGACUACCCCGAAGGGCAUCAGCGUCUCACUGCAUCAGCCGCUUCAUCCUGAUUCUCUGAUUACCUCAAAGUACCAGCGCGUCUUCGUCGGACCGAGAAUCGACACCAAGAAGAACAGUUGUCGAUUGUUUUAUUCGACAAUAUCGUCAUUGAAUAAGCAGGAUGACGAACUAUGAAUCGGAUCAGCGUAAUUGAAUAAGCCGGGUGAUGAAGCCGGAUGAUGAGCUAUGAAUCGGAUCAGCUUCAGCAAUGUUUCUCUUUCCGCGCAACACCUUUUCUCUCCUCAACACCGCCGGUUAACCAGAGUGGAUAAAUCACUCUCUAGCAAGAGACCCAGCGACAACUCCAGCGAAUCUAAACGAGCUUCUCAAUUGGAUAACAAGAAACCACAGAAAACAUAAUUGGCUCACAACUCUUCGGGUGAAUGUUCUUGAAAAAGUUGGUAGAUCCACCAUAAAUCAACGGAAAAGAGAUAAGUCCCUCAUACUUAAUCUAAUCUCUUUUAAUUCUGAUCGGUGUCAUCUCUUGGCAGAAAUAAAAUGAUUAUAAAGUUGCAAAACUCAUAAAAAUUAAUUUUGUAUCGAAUUGUUUCUAUUGCCCUAUGAUGAUUCUCUCUGGUUUAGUUUGAAGAUAGUUUUGGUAAAGUUUUAGGGUUCUUAUAUGGGUUUCGAUUUGUCUUUUGAUUGUCAAUAUUUAUAGAAGAUCGAACAUCAGGUUUAGCUCGUAUUAAUUCUUAUUACCCGUCAAUUGGUUUUGGAAUUUGAUUUGUUUUAAUUUUGAAUUUCAACUGAACUUAUACUCGUUCCUGGUCGAUUAUAUUAACAUCAAUUGAUAAAUCCCUUAGGUGUUUAAACGUGUCGACAAAUGUAUUCAAAUUUCCAGCUCUUGAAUCACAAUUACUAACCAGAAUUUUCCUCAAUGUGGCUAUUAGACAAGUUUUCAAGCACAUGACAACUUAGCCGGAGCUUCCAGGCAAACAGUGAACAGGAUGAUGUGAACACAGACAUGUUCCAAAGUUAUUUGUACGAGACUUCGAAUGAACGAUAGAGAAGAUUGUCGACUACCAAUGCCAAUGAAGCCUACUGCUCAGUCUGCUCUUUACUUCUUCAAAACCUCUAAUUGCCUCCUUGGGAUGUUGGGACAGUGAGGAUACUUAGCUCAAAGUAGCCUCGGAAACUCCUUGUAAUUUGCCAUAUACAAGCGUCGUAAGCAGACUUUGAAUGGAUUUUGGAAAGCUCAACUGAAGAUCACUACAUCAUCGCCAUCUGGAAUGGAUUUUGAAUACCACUAAGCACAUGAAAGAUAAGUUUCUAUUGUCUUCUUCAAAUCUAGGUUGCAAACUGUAUAUCAAUUCUUCAAUAACAAUUUUAUAAUUUGCUAGUGAAUGAAGACGUAAGAAUGACCUGUGACCUUCCGCUCCUAUGAGUUAUGAAUGCUGACCUUAAACCUAGUCAUAUGUUUAACUCUUUAUGAUGUUACCAGGAGCUCCACGACCUGGCUCCAUGAUAAAUGACUUGUGUAUCUGAACUUAAUUUAAAGCAUGCUGUAAUUUAUUUGCUGAUUGCGCAUUUUUUGUAAGCUCCAUGAUAACCUUAGCAAGGUCUAUUAGAUAGUUGAAUGUAUACCCUAAUUACAGCCCACCUGUAAGCAUGUAUCUAUAGAAAUUUCCUCUCUUCAUUUAGUUGUGGUGUAGAGCUGAAGUUGAUGAGCAUAGGCUCUUUUAUCCCUCUCUUGCUACUCCCUUGAUCGAGCUCCAUUUUCUUAAACGGAAAAUAUCACAUUAUUUAUUUUAUCAACAGCUAUGCCUAUACUGCUUACUGUAGAAUAUCACAUGAUACCUUGAUGUUCUGCUAUUUGAUUCAUUGGCCAGAAAGUCCCCGAAAAUUGUCACUCAAGGAAGAGAAAAUUGUCACUUAAGGAAAAGCGCUCAGCUCCAACAUCUGUGCAUCGAUGGACUGCCACUAUCCCCAGCAGAACUAAAAGCGAGCAGCAGCUAAUGCAACCCGCAUUAGCGUCACUGGAGUGCAUCAGCGCCACUUUUCCCUCGUGCACAGAGGACAGGUCAUUAUAGUCGCGUGAUGCCAUGAAUCCUCUGAGCUUGCCAAGCUGUCAAUCAGUGACCUAUUUCUUCAUAGAGGUGAGCUCGAAUAUUGGAAUUCUGUUUACUUUACGAUUAAGGGAUGAUCACUCUUCCCACUUUAUUACUACAAAUCGCACCCAGUAAUGGCUCACAUGAGUUAUAUCUCACAUGUGUAUGUUGUCACCUUUAUCACUAGGGUAUACAUGUUCGAAAGUUUUAACAUCAGAUGUAUCUGCGCCUUACUUCUCAAUAUCGCUCUAUUAAGAAAGAGCCAAGAUCAUGCCAUUGUCAGAGUAUGAUUGCAUUAUCUCACAAUUACAUUUUUGCUAAACAUGCAAGACCACUCACCAUAAUGAGUAUAUGUACCCAUCUCACGUAUUUAGUAUAUUAAUUCAAGAAGUGUCCAAGAUAGC